UACGUAGGGGGCAAGCGUUGUCCGGAAUUAUUGGGCGUAAAGAGCGUGUAGGCGGUCCCGAAAGUCUGAUGUGAAAACUUGAGGCUCAACCUCAAGCUGUCAUUGGAUACUGCGGGACUUGAGUCUGGAAGAGGAGAGUGGAAUUCCUGGUGUAGCGGUGGAAUGCGCAGAUAUCAGGAGGAACACCUAUUGCGAAGGCAGCUCGCUGGGACGUAACUGACGCUGAGACGCGAAAGCGUGGGGAGCAAACAGG
Molecule: ribosomal RNA, 253 nt
Filed under: uncultured bacterium
Lineage: Bacteria
Description: partial 16S ribosomal RNA
Rfam family: Bacterial small subunit ribosomal RNA
Source: RNAcentral